ACGCUGAGGUGGUGGUUUACGGUACGCAACCGGCUGUAACCGCUUCAGCUGGAGAGCACUUUAUCUUCUUCUUUAAGGAAGUAAUUGAAUAAUCAGAAAGCAUGAUUAAAAUAGUUUUCAAGUGACAAUGUUUUUGAAUUUUUAGAAACAUCAGAGGUCAUGGAGAGGCAGACCUGUGCAAGACACACUUUUUAAAAUAACUGACUUUGCAGAGCUAAUCAGCAUAAAGGCAAAAUUCUGUUUAAACUUUUCCAGUGGGCAAUUGCUGUCCCAACUCUCCUCUUGUUUAUGGCACUACCUAGCUAUAAAUCUGGACACCAUUGUGCAUUUUCUUCUCCUUUAGCCUCCAUACCCAACUAUCCACCAAGCAAUAGGUGAACUCCAAAAAUAGCCUCCUUCAACUCAUUGUCUGGGUAGUUGUUUCCCUGAAGAAAACAAGAACCUACUCGUCUACCAGGAUAUGACUCCAGUCAUCAAUUCUGUUACAAGUGAGUUGCUUCCAGUUUCUUCUGCCUAGAAGAUUCAGAGGGAGAGAGGUCAUGAUUAUUCUAUGGCUAAGUACCACUUCUGAAGUGUUUUCUUUGGCACAAGAACCUGAUACAAUGGAGAUGUCAAUCAAUGCAUGUCUCAGUCCUAAGACUUGCCCUUGAAAAUCACAUAACAGCAAAUACUUCUGUCCAGUCAGCUUUUCUACUUACCAGCAGACUGCAAAGAGUGAUCACUGAGGAUUUUAUAAAUGAAAAGCCUCAUGCCCUUCAUGCAUCCAGGUGGGGGGUAAUUCUGAAGUGGAAUUUUGCAAAAGCCAUAUGAAACCUAACAAAAGAUUGUCAAAUGCCACACAGGUGGCUCCAGGGAGCAUGAUGUGUCACUCACCAUUGACUGUAUCACCUCCUGCCUGUUCAUUCAAUAAAUGAGGCCAAACAAAUAAAUUCUUGCUUCUCUAAAGAAA
This is a long non-coding RNA of Suricata suricatta (meerkat), 949 nucleotides long. RefSeq lists it as uncharacterized. The transcript is spliced from 5 exons. NCBI's taxonomy places the organism in Eukaryota, Metazoa, Chordata, Mammalia, Carnivora, Herpestidae. The record is from RefSeq and is a predicted model, not a curated record.